AGGGUGUCGGGGUGUCGGGGCGUCGUGUCGGGGUGUCGGGGUGUCGUGUAAGGGUGUCAGGGUGUCGUAGUGUCAUUUUCUUCUUCUUCCUAUUCUUCUUUUUUUCUCUUCUUUCAUUUAUUCUUCUUCCUCUUCUUCUUUUUCUUCUUCUUCUUCUUCUUCUUCUUCUUCUUUUUCUUCUUCUUCCUCUUCUUGCUUUUAUUUCUUUCUUCUUCUUGUUCUUCUUCUUCUUUUUCCUUCUCCUCCUCUUCUUUUCCUUUUUCCUCUUCUUCU
This 273-nucleotide long non-coding RNA is filed under the name Hordeum vulgare. RNAcentral describes it as "long non-coding RNA (HVUL_LNC012408)". The record is from RNAcentral. Lineage: Eukaryota; Viridiplantae; Streptophyta; Magnoliopsida; Poales; Poaceae.